UUCGACACACUAUCAUUAACUGAAUCCAUAGGUUAAUGAGGCGAACCGGGGGAACUGAAACAUCUAAGUACCCCGAGGAAAAGAAAUCAACCGAGAUUCCCCCAGUAGCGGCGAGCGAACGGGGAGCAGCCCAGAGUCUGAAUCAGUGUGUGUGUUAGUGGAAGCGUCUGGAAAGGCGCGCGAUACAGGGUGACAGCCCCGUACACAAAAAUGCACAUGCUGUGAGCUCGAUGAGUAGGGCGGGACACGUGGUAUCCUGUCUGAAUAUGGGGGGACCAUCCUCCAAGGCUAAAUACUCCUGACUGACCGAUAGUGAACCAGUACCGUGAGGGAAAGGCGAAAAGAACCCCGGCGAGGGGAGUGAAAAAGAACCUGAAACCGUGUACGUACAAGCAGUGGGAGCCUCUUUUAUGGGGUGACUGCGUACCUUUUGUAUAAUGGGUCAGCGACUUAUAUUCUGUAGCAAGGUUAACCGAAUAGGGGAGCCGAAGGGAAACCGAGUCUUAACUGGGCGUUAAGUUGCAGGGUAUAGACCCGAAACCCGGUGAUCUAGCCAUGGGCAGGUUGAAGGUUGGGUAACACUAACUGGAGGACCGAACCGACUAAUGUUGAAAAAUUAGCGGAUGACUUGUGGCUGGGGGUGAAAGGCCAAUCAAACCGGGAGAUAGCUGGUUCUCCCCGAAAGCUAUUUAGGUAGCGCCUCGUGAAUUCAUCUCCGGGGGUAGAGCACUGUUUCGGCAAGGGGGUCAUCCCGACUUACCAACCCGAUGCAAACUGCGAAUACCGGAGAAUGUUAUCACGGGAGACACACGGCGGGUGCUAACGUCCGUCGUGAAGAGGGAAACAACCCAGACCGCCAGCUAAGGUCCCAAAGUCAUGGUUAAGUGGGAAACGAUGUGGGAAGGCCCAGACAGCCAGGAUGUUGGCUUAGAAGCAGCCAUCAUUUAAAGAAAGCGUAAUAGCUCACUGGUCGAGUCGGCCUGCGCGGAAGAUGUAACGGGGCUAAACCAUGCACCGAAGCUGCGGCAGCGACGCUUAUGCGUUGUUGGGUAGGGGAGCGUUCUGUAAGCCUGUGAAGGUGUGCUGUGAGGCAUGCUGGAGGUAUCAGAAGUGCGAAUGCUGACAUAAGUAACGAUAAAGCGGGUGAAAAGCCCGCUCGCCGGAAGACCAAGGGUUCCUGUCCAACGUUAAUCGGGGCAGGGUGAGUCGACCCCUAAGGCGAGGCCGAAAGGCGUAGUCGAUGGGAAACAGGUUAAUAUUCCUGUACUUGGUGUUACUGCGAAGGGGGGACGGAGAAGGCUAUGUUGGCCGGGCGACGGUUGUCCCGGUUUAAGCGUGUAGGCUGGUUUUCCAGGCAAAUCCGGAAAAUCAAGGCUGAGGCGUGAUGACGAGGCACUACGGUGCUGAAGCAACAAAUGCCCUGCUUCCAGGAAAAGCCUCUAAGCAUCAGGUAACAUCAAAUCGUACCCCAAACCGACACAGGUGGUCAGGUAGAGAAUACCAAGGCGCUUGAGAGAACUCGGGUGAAGGAACUAGGCAAAAUGGUGCCGUAACUUCGGGAGAAGG
RNAcentral lists this ribosomal RNA (1566 nucleotides) under Escherichia coli. Its description in RNAcentral is "partial 23S ribosomal RNA". It matches the Rfam family "Bacterial large subunit ribosomal RNA", at positions 139 to 1746 of the family's 2925-position model. The record is from RNAcentral. Lineage: Bacteria; Pseudomonadati; Pseudomonadota; Gammaproteobacteria; Enterobacterales; Enterobacteriaceae.